This 558-nucleotide long non-coding RNA is filed under the name Bos indicus x Bos taurus (hybrid cattle). RNAcentral describes it as "lncRNA (ENSBIXG00000001108.1)". Lineage: Eukaryota; Metazoa; Chordata; Mammalia; Artiodactyla; Bovidae. The record is from RNAcentral.
GGGAGGGAGAGGCCGUCGGGCUGCCUGCUGAGGGUGGCCUUGCCCAGCGGUGCUGAGGACCAGGCCUGCCUGGGGCGGACGGUUCACCCGACCGGUGCCGAAGUAUCCAGCAAAGCAGAGGCAGAGCCCUCCCCCAUCAGGGGUCUCCGAGCUCGGGGCUGUGGGAGGCCGCCCUGGUCUUUCGAUCACCGGUUGAAAUACAGCCUCUGCUUGGACAGCUGAGGCUGCCCCACGGCCAGUGUCUUGCAGAGUUUGCUGGCUGCCCAUCUUCCUGGACGCCACUCCCACCCCCACCAGUUGUCCCGCUGGGGAGCGGAGCUGUCACCAGCGGUCACCACGGCCCCUCCUCGUGGGACGAAGCAGAUGAGCCAUUGGGCUGUGCAGUGAUGCCGGCGUCUCACGUCCAGCUGCUGUUCCCGCCCCAGGCCGCCUUCCCGUCGGGAUCUGGACCAGCCUCGGCCACUCUUCUGGGCCCUUGCUCCUCCCGCGGGUUCCUGGGUUCAGGCCUGUGGUUGGGAUUCCCUGGCGAUGCUGGAAGUUUUCAUAGCUGAAAAGGUC